RNAcentral lists this long non-coding RNA (543 nucleotides) under Penaeus japonicus. Its description in RNAcentral is "uncharacterized LOC122248117". The record is from RNAcentral. Lineage: Eukaryota; Metazoa; Arthropoda; Malacostraca; Decapoda; Penaeidae.
UACGUCGACGAGAGCCCCGAGCAAACGUUCAGUGUGUUUGUAUCUGUCGUGGUGUCAACACGCUUUGUGAGGGGAAUGCGAAGUCAAGGGUGAUCAUUUUCCCCUCUUCCCAUCUCCCUUAUUCGCGUCCCUUCUUCUUCUUCUUCUGCUUCUUCUUCUUCUUCUGCUUUUUUAAUUAAAUUCUCUUUCGCUUCUCAUUCUGCCUCGUCCAUUGCGCGUGGUGGAAGAGGUUUGAGUGGAAGGGGAAGUGCUCGACGAAGUGAUGUAAAGUGAAGUGAUAUGAAAUGAAGUGAUUAUUUUCGCGUGGCUUCGUGGCUCCGUUCGGGGAAGAGAAACGGUAAGAGGUCUUCGGCACUCGUCAGGGCAGGCGACGCGGUCAGGCCUCGUAAGAACAGCCUCGAACUUUCCUGUUAUCUACUGUUCCGUGAGUAUUUUUGUCUUGACCUAUUUUUUCUUUUUUCUUUUAUCAUUUUUUCUUUCUUUCUAUUUUUCUACUUGGGUACUUCUGGGAUUUUCUCUUUGGCGUUGUUUUUCGCCUUUUGU